AUUUACUCAACAAGGGCACAAUUUUGUGAGAAUGGAUCAAAACAUGAUAUUUUGAUAAGUUGUAAGGGUGAAAAUGAAGGAAAAAACAUUCAUUAUCAACAAGAACAACAUAAUUAUCCUGUUUUGUCAAUUUGUAUUGAUAAAAAGAUGGUGAUUAGAGUGAAGAGAUUACAAUGGAAUUUUAGGGGAAAUCAAAGUAUUUUUUUGGAUGGUUUGUUUGUGGAUGUUAUGUGGGAUGUUCAUGAUUGGUUCUUUGAUUCAACAAACUCUGGUUGUGCUGUUUUUAUGUUUAGGACAAGAAGUGGAUUGGAUAGUAGAUUGUGGUUAGAAGAUAGAGACAAGUUGAUGCACAAGAAUCAAGAUAAAGUUGAGUUCUCAUUCAUGAUCUAUGCAAGUAAGACCACAUGAUUUCUUCUCGAUUUUUUUCGUUUAUCUGGUGUUCGAUAUACCAAUUUUGCGUUCCUAAUAUCUGAGGAACGCUUUUUACAAAGACUUGAAUUUGAACCUGGAGUUUCGUUAUAGUUAUGGAUGAAGAAAGAAAUUUUAUUCAUCGAACAACAAUUCUGAAUAGUAUAAGAGCAAAUAAUUGAAAGGUGAU
RNAcentral lists this unclassified non-coding RNA (598 nucleotides) under Hevea brasiliensis (rubber tree). The record is from RNAcentral. Lineage: Eukaryota; Viridiplantae; Streptophyta; Magnoliopsida; Malpighiales; Euphorbiaceae.